AUUGAACGCUGGCGGCAGGCCUAACACAUGCGAGUCGAACGGUAACAGGAAGCAGCUUGCUGCUUUGCUGACGAGUGGCGGACGGGUGAGUAAUGUCUGGGAAACUGCCUGAUGGAGGGGGAUAACUACUAGAAACGGUAGCUAAUACCGCAUAACGUCGCAAGACCAAAGAGGGGGACCUUAGGGCCUCUUGCCAUCGGAUGUGCCCAGAUGGGAUUAGCUAGUAGGUGGGGUAACGGCUCACCUAGGCGACGAUCCCUAGCUGGUCUGAGAGGAUGACCAGCCACACUGGAACUGAGACACGGUCCAGACUCCUACGGGAGGCAGCAGUGGGGAAUAUUGCACAAUGGGCGCAAGCCUGAUGCAGCCAUGCCGCGUGUAUGAAGAAGGCCUUCGGGUUGUAAAGUACUUUCAGCGGGGAGGAAGGGAGUAAAGUUAAUACCUUUGCUCAUUGACGUUACCCGCAGAAGAAGCACCGGCUAACUCCGUG
RNAcentral lists this ribosomal RNA (490 nucleotides) under uncultured bacterium. RNAcentral describes it as "partial 16S ribosomal RNA". It matches the Rfam family "Bacterial small subunit ribosomal RNA", at positions 30 to 507 of the family's 1533-position model. The record is from RNAcentral.